CAUUGCGGAUGACUUGAGGAUGUUGGAAGCAUUCAAGGAGGAGGAGAAAGAAGUGCAGAACAUCGCAAUCUUGAUGUUGCCAGAUGCUGUCCUGUGGGAAGUUCUUCUUCACGUGGUCCUGGAGGAGGGUGACGCUGCAUUGUUUAAGCGGUCUUUGGUUUGUUCCAAACAGACUCAUUUUGAAAGAGGGCACACUUCUGCUGGCUUGACAGUGUAACAAGAUGGAGAACUAAGUCUGAGCCAUGCCAGGAAUUUUUCUGGGCCUAACAGAACUGCAUUUUACCAUUGUACAGGUGAUUAGGACGGGAUCCUGGUCGGAGACAGGAGCUAUGCCUGCAGGCAUUACUUCAUGACCCCAACCCUGGACUACAAACCCGUUACAAUGCAGCCAGGACAAGGGCACGCAUUGAAAUGACCUUUUGGGCAACUAAAGGGAAGGUUUCAGUGUCUGAGGGUUGCACCUGACAGGGCAUGCAACAUUGUGGCAUGUGCUGUAUUACACAACAUUGCCACCAUCAGAAAGGAGUGAGUGAGUGAGUGAA
Molecule: long non-coding RNA, 542 nt
Organism: Sinocyclocheilus grahami
Lineage: Eukaryota; Metazoa; Chordata; Actinopteri; Cypriniformes; Cyprinidae
Exons: 3
Source: RefSeq, a predicted model, not a curated record